RNAcentral lists this ribosomal RNA (156 nucleotides) under Rhizobium sp. Iw-7-3. RNAcentral's name for it is "partial 16S rRNA". It matches the Rfam family "Bacterial small subunit ribosomal RNA", at positions 357 to 528 of the family's 1533-position model. The record is from RNAcentral. Lineage: Bacteria; Pseudomonadati; Pseudomonadota; Alphaproteobacteria; Hyphomicrobiales; Rhizobiaceae.
GGGCACAUUGGACAUGGGCGCAGCCUGAUCAGCCAUGCCGCGUGAGUGAUGAAGGCCUUUAGGGUUGUAAAGCUCUUUCACCGGAGAAGAUAAUGACGGUAUCCUGGAGUAAGAAGCCCCGGGCUAACUUCGUGCCAGCAGCCGCGGGUAAUACCG